Long non-coding RNA from Macadamia integrifolia, 1614 nucleotides. RefSeq lists it as uncharacterized. NCBI's taxonomy places the organism in Eukaryota, Viridiplantae, Streptophyta, Magnoliopsida, Proteales, Proteaceae. The transcript has 2 exons. The record is from RefSeq and is a predicted model, not a curated record.
UGAAUGGAAUAAAUGAGUUCGACACAAUCUUCUUUUCUUCUCUAUAUGGGAUUCUUGCCUUGCAGUUUUGGCCUUGAGAAAAUAUGGCUUUUGUUCAAACCAGUUCUUAAUCUCUUACAUUGUGAAAUUGUGAUAUGCUUUGCUUUUGUCAAUUCUAUCGGAUACUUGCUUCAGAUUAUAAUCUACUUUGCUUUUGUCAAGAGUAAGAAUAAAGGGAAUAUGACACUGUAAAACCUAUCUUGAUGGGUACCUCUUACUAUAAAUUUGCUUACUGUGAAUCCUUCUCACUCUCAUCUUCCAAUCCCUCUGUCUCUCUAAAUUUCAUAUUGUGAAUCCAUCUGUCCACGAAAUUUGCCAUUGUGAUUGUGAAUCCUUCUCAUUCUCAUCUUGCAAUCUCUCUAUCCCUCUGAAUCCCCUAUCUGUGAAUCCUUCUCAUGCUCAACCCAUCCUGCUUUAAAGAUAAGCUAUAACCACUUGCCAUCCCAUUUGAAACAAUGUUUUGCUUAUUGUUCAUUAUUCCCACAAGAUCAUGAAAUAUAUGUUGAUGAUUUGAUCCAUCAAUGGAUGGCACAUGGGUUCAUCAUUCAAGCUCAACCACCCCCAACUAGUAGAUCAGGAGGAAGUCAUCUUGCAAAGUCAUUAGAAGAAAUAGGACAUAGGUAUUUCAGGGAAUUAUUGUGGAGAGGAGAUCAUUCUUUCAAGAGGUAAGAGAAGAUUAUUUGGGCAACAUUGUGGCAUGCAAAUAUUUCAGGAAGGGCAAGUGAUCAGGUUGUGUGUGUGCAUGUGUGUUCAGAAAACUGAUUCAUGGACAUAUGAAUAUAUGUCUUACUGUCUGCUGAAUUCCUGUAGGAGCUGUUCCAUGUACCGCGAAGGCCCUUGUGAGGGGAUUUGUUUGCAAUAGAAGCUGAUGGGAAAGAAGAUAGUUCAGCGCACAAGCAGAAUCCACUGAGCUUUCUCACCUAGUUACCUGUAGAUUUCUCUUCUUUGAGUAGCGAGAUGAUCAGAAGCCCUGGUACAGAGGUUUGACAUAAUAUUGACAUGGAAAUCAGAAGGCAGUGUUCAUUUUCCCUUCUUGACAGAUAGCUAUGGCACCUAGGGAAGAGCGAGGGCAAGCUGUGGCAGCAACUUCAUGCCUCUUGUUAAGUUUUCUCGAAUUCUUAACCCCUUUUGAAGAAUGACCUGCUCAGACAUAUUUUGAUGGCAACCCGAAUGAGAUUUUUUUUUUCCUGAGAUCUGUGAUGGAAGUAACUUCAGGCCUCUUGUUAAGUACAGUUCAACACGUUCGGCCGUGACCCGAUGGAUCAACCCGUGACUUGGAGGAGUAUCUAAUGUACUAUUGUCUUGUUGAGCAUGCAGUUGUAAUUUUGAGGUUUUUCGAGCUAGGGUUUCAGAGCGAGUUUUCUCACUGUUGUUUGGUUGUAAUCUCUCUUCUACAUAGUGAAAGAUCUUCUUCUUCACCCGAAGACGUAGUACACCACAUCGGUGUAUGAACCUCAUUAAAUAUUUGUGUGUUGUGUGGAUUUGUGUUUGUUAAUUUUCGUAUCUGUUGGUGUUGAUAUAACACCUCUUUAUCUUGACUCAAAUUGAUGAUAAAAUGAUUUCCAAGAUUGAACA